UGCCACUUUUUCUUCAUAUUGUCUAUUGCUACAAAUAUAACGAUUAUCAUCCACUGCCUUUUUUUUUGUAGGAAAUCUAUUAUAUAUCUUGUGCAUGGAAGAGAUUGUAUACCUCUAUCGAUGGGUGCAUGUGAGCUUGGCCAUGCAACAUUGCAAGGUACGCCAUCCAUUUAAACUGACCAUUGUUGCAAGCAAUGCAAUAAUGUACACAUGUGUCAGGUGCUAGCUAACAGUAUAGCACUCUCAUCAUGCAAAACAAGCCACUUAAACUAAACUAGCACAACUACCGAGCUUCACUACGAAGCACACGUUGCCAUAAAACAGGGCCCGAAACAAAAGGGGGAAAUAUCUAGCUCAAGUCAAUCAGCAGACAGCAGUACUGUGAAAAAAAAGGUGUCAUGAUCACUGAAAAAAUAACGCGCUGUUUCGCUAAAUUAAUCAGUGUACAAUGUCUCAUUAAUAGCACGCUAUAGCAUUACUAAUAGCACAUUUUCAGGGACGAUGCUAUUUUGUAUAGCGCGUUAUGUUUUUUUCCUUGGCCAUGAUAGAUUAUGCGUGUAAUAUCGUCCGACCCAUAGUUUAGAAAACAGGACCGAUAAUCGAACCGGUGUGGCUCUCGGUUCAGGUUUACCGUUCAACCGCCGGUUCACCGGUUCGAUUGUCCAGUUUUUUACCAUAAAAUAAUUUUGUUGAGUAAUAUUUUCCUGGUUUUUCCCGGUUCGAUGACCCGGUUUUUCCACUUGUUUUCAGAAAACCGACCGGUUUUACCAUAAAAAUUUAAGCAUGUAAAGUGUUCUGAAAAGAUCAAGAGAAGUUGGUGUAGACCAAACUUAACAUGGAGUAGUCUGCUAAGAGAGAUCCAAAGGACUAGAAUAUCAUCUAGGAACUAGUCAUAGACAUGAGUGCAUGGAAGAUAGGUAUCCACGUGCCAGAACCAUGUGAGUUGGUACCGAUACCUUAUUGGUUUAAGCUCUAGCGCACCCUUCACAAAAAAUAUUCAUUCCAUGACUUGCCACACAUGUAUCCGCUUUUCCGUAUACGAACACAAUUUUUUUGCCAAUUCCAGACCGACUAUCCCAUUACUAUUGUAUUAUCUUUGCGUUCCUUGGUAGGACUAGCACAAAUGCCCGUGCGUUGCAACGGGGGAGAAAUUGAGUUAUCAGUAUGAAGAAAAAGGUUAGUUGCCUCGUCAACCAAAACACCCAUCAAAGCAGCACAUGCUCCAGAGUCAAUGCAAUAUAGUCUGCUCAUGGAUUUAAUUGACUCAAUUGUCCAAACAGAACUUUUAACUUAACUAUAUUAUCAGCUUACAUAUCAAUUGUUAUUAAUCCUAAACUAGGGUGCAAAUGUUCAGUUCAUGAACUACGGUGACCCAAUUUAACACGGCCCGAUUUGUUUUGUGCAUUUAUGCUUUCUCAAGUACGACGUUAGUGUGCAACAAUGACGGUAGUUGGUUUAUGAUCCAAAUCAAUUCAUCCUAACAUGAAUAAGUGUGUUUGUUUCGGGUUCAUGCUUCAUCUUUUACAGUUUGCCUUAUAAGCGAGAAAAUCUCCUAAAAAAGUGCUUUUGGUUUUGGCUUUUCGCUUAUGAUGAUAUAAGGCAAACUCCAAAGCCGAAAUCCCCUGAAUAAAAGCAUUUUUGUCUUUUUACUGCCCAUAAGAAUUAUGUGCUUCCAGCAUGACCAUCCUUGUAAAACGGCUAAGAAAUAUAUGCACUAUUUGGUUUGCAUGUUUCCUAGUUUGUCUCCAACCUCCACUGUGCUAUUCAUCAAUAAUGAUGCACUAAUUAUUUUUCGUUAAUGUGAGGCAUGCUUAGCCGAAGAAACGGAAGAAAAGCGAAUUUAUCGGUUAAAUAUUGUGAUAGAUUAGUUAACCAAUAACCUAAAUCAGCAAUAAUUGCUUUUUUCCUAAACCUAGGAGAUUUUUCUGAUGGACUUUGAACAAUCUUCUCAGGAAGUUAGAAUGACUUAUUGUACACCUGAAAUAAUUAUUUUCUUGAAUUUUAAAGAUUGCUCUUCUUAAUAAAGAUUUUAUUCUAAAAAUCAUGGAGGUAUCACAACCAGUCUUGUACCAAGCUAGUAUGGGAACAAUUUUUCGUUGGACAACCGCGGGUACCACACCAGCAUUGACCGCCUCCGGUGCUCCCUUGCAUUGACGCACACGUCCAUUCGCCCGCCAAUAAGUGCUAUCACUACCCAUGAAUAUAAUGACAUUGGUUUGGUAAUUGUCAGGGUUGAUAUUUUUUCUAUAAACUUGGUCAAAUUAUGAAAAGUUUGACUUAUGACAAAUCUAAUACAUAGAGUAAAAAGAAAUGGAGGGGGUAUUAUAUUAUCCGCGGUGCUGCAUAUGGGCCAUUUAUGCUAAUGGACUACCGAUAUCCUAAAGACACGCUUUGAUCCUAGAAAUAGUGAAAAUCGCAAAAGCAAUUAUGAUUGGUACGAACAGACCAUAUAUGCUCUUGAAAAAGAAAUUAUGAAGACAUGUACAUGAUGAGAAAACAGACCAUACUCAUGAGAAGAAGACAAUAUCAAGAUAAUACUCCCUUUAUGAGGUCCUCUUCUCGUUUAAUUAGACCCCAUCAGACCACAAAUCUUAGUGUUAAUUAGAGAGCAAAUCUAGCAUGCAUGCGUUGUUGCGUGUCCCCACAUUUAUGGAGUCUUGUCCCCGUGUUUGUUUCCUCUGUUUAGAUUGCUUGCUGAUAUUUGAGAUAACUUGCAAAUCUAUAUAAAUUGGUAGGUUUUGGUAUAGAGAAUCGAGGUGGGAUUAUAACGUGAGCAACCCUGUGUUAUAGCAGCCCGUGCUAGCUUUUUUGGCAUCUGGAAUCCUAUGCUGAUCAAUAGGUGUUGAGUUCGAACCUACUGAUUCACAAGUGUUCGCGUGUCUUUCUUGGAGGGUCAUCCCAGUCCGUGCGUUAAUCGUUUGCCCCCAGCCCGUGCGUUAUUAAGCCCGAAUUACGUCAAAGUGAAUCGUCUGCCUCAGCGAAACUGUUUUUCAGAAGCAUACUAGAGGUUGAUUGUAUAAAUAGUUAGGAAGUUUUCUAUAAAAAUUACAUGACGACUAAGAAUAUCUAUUUCUUAAUUUGCCUUGGUAGGAUGUCCCCUUUAUUUAUUAUUAUAGGUGUCGUUGUAUGGGUGAAGAAACUGUGAUCUAGUAAAUUGCUAUGAAAUUCUGCAUUAAUUUGCCUUUAAUACCAC
This 3193-nucleotide long non-coding RNA is filed under the name Hordeum vulgare. RNAcentral describes it as "long non-coding RNA (HVUL_LNC008062)". Lineage: Eukaryota; Viridiplantae; Streptophyta; Magnoliopsida; Poales; Poaceae. The record is from RNAcentral.